ACACGUAAGCCUCGAGCGUUGUUCGGAAUUAUUGGGAGUAAAGGGUAUGUAGGCGGAGCUGAAAGCCUGUCGUGAAAUGCAGAAGCUUAACUUCUGAGCUGCGAUGGGAACUUCAGUUCUGGAAUCACUGAAGGGCAGCCGGACUUCCAGGUGUAGGGGUGAAAUCUGUAGAUAUCUGGAAGAACACCGAUGGCGAAGGCAGGCUGGUGGCAGAUGAUUGACGCUGAGGUACGAAAGUGCAGGUAGCGAACAGGAUUAGAUACCCUGGUAGUCCGCACAGUAAACGAUGCACACUAGGUGUGGGGGCAGAAGUCUCUAUGCCGGAGCGAACGUGAUAAGUGUGCCGCCUGGGAAGUAUGCCCGCAAGGGUGAAACUCGAAGGAAAUGACGGGG
This 393-nucleotide ribosomal RNA is filed under the name uncultured bacterium. RNAcentral's name for it is "partial 16S ribosomal RNA". It matches the Rfam family "Bacterial small subunit ribosomal RNA", at positions 523 to 918 of the family's 1533-position model. The record is from RNAcentral.